Molecule: ribosomal RNA, 158 nt
Filed under: Xenasmatella aff. ardosiaca KUC20130726-12
Lineage: Eukaryota; Fungi; Basidiomycota; Agaricomycetes; Xenasmatellaceae
Description: 5.8S ribosomal RNA
Rfam family: 5.8S ribosomal RNA
About the family: 5.8S ribosomal RNA (5.8S rRNA) is a component of the large subunit of the eukaryotic ribosome.
Source: RNAcentral
CAACUUUCAACAACGGAUCUCUUGGCUCUCGCAUCGAUGAAGAACGCAGCGAAAUGCGAUAAGUAAUGUGAAUUGCAGAAUUCAGUGAAUCAUCGAAUCUUUGAACGCACCUUGCACUCCUUGGUAUUCCGAGGAGUAUGCCUGUUUGAGUGUCAUGA